GCCGCUGAUACUGACGAGGUGUAAAUCGGAGUCGGCGAGAACGGCGGCGGAGAAGCUCGCCCCGGAGUUGGGUUUCUGGAAAACGAGAAAGUUGGGAAUUGUUGAUUCAUGCUCACCGAGUGUUUUGCGAUUAAUUAUUAGUUAUUAAUUAGUCUCAUUAGUGUUUAAUUCGUUUUAAUUUUUGGUAGCUGAAUUAGUGAAAAUUUAUUGAUGAUAGUUGUCUGAUACCAUAAUUUUAUAGUGAUUAAAUAUUGAAAGUGUGUAUAUUCACAUCUGGGGUCGCACUAGAGAAUCUCUAUUGCUCUCCUCUGUUUGUAUUGUAUGUGGGCAAUGUAAAUGGGUGUUGUUGGUAAUAAAAAAA
Molecule: long non-coding RNA, 361 nt
Filed under: Malus domestica (apple)
Lineage: Eukaryota; Viridiplantae; Streptophyta; Magnoliopsida; Rosales; Rosaceae
Description: long non-coding RNA (MDOM_LNC005724)
Source: RNAcentral